AAUCUUCCACAAUGGGCGAAAGCCUGAUGCAGCAACGCCGCGUGAGCGAUGAAGGNUUNNGGGUCNUNAAGCUCUGUCCUUAGNNNNNAUAAUGACGGUNCCUUAGGAGGAAGACCAGGCUAACUACGUGCCAGCAGCCGCGGUCAUACGUAGGGGGCAAGCGUUACCCGGAUUCAUGUGGCGUAAGGGGUGCGUAGGCGGCCCUAUAGGUCAGAGGUCAAAGGCUACGGCUCAACCGUAGUAAGCCUUUGAAACUGUAGGGCUUGAGUGCAGGAGAGGAGAGUGGAAUUCCUAGUGUAGCGGUGAAAUGCGUAGAUAUUAGGAGGAACACCAGUGGCGAAGGCGACUCUCUGGACUGCAACUGACGCUGAGGCACGAAAGCGUGGGGAGCGAACAGG
RNAcentral lists this ribosomal RNA (398 nucleotides) under uncultured bacterium. Its description in RNAcentral is "partial 16S ribosomal RNA". It matches the Rfam family "Bacterial small subunit ribosomal RNA", at positions 360 to 776 of the family's 1533-position model. The record is from RNAcentral.